Molecule: ribosomal RNA, 436 nt
Filed under: uncultured Clostridiales Family IV bacterium
Lineage: Bacteria; Bacillati; Bacillota; Clostridia; Eubacteriales; Eubacteriales Family IV. Incertae Sedis
Description: bacterial SSU rRNA
Rfam family: Bacterial small subunit ribosomal RNA
Source: RNAcentral
ACGGAAGGCAGCAGUGGGGAAUAUUGCACAAUGGGCGCAAGCCUGAUGCAGCAACGCCGCGUGAGGGAAGACGGUUUUCGGAUUGUAAACCUCUGUCUUUGGUGACGAAGAAGUGACGGUAGCCAAAGAGGAAGCCACGGCUAACUACGUGCCAGCAGCCGCGGUAAUACGUAGGUGGCAAGCGUUAUCCGGAAUUACUGGGUGUAAAGGGAGCGCAGGCGGGAUAGCAAGUCAGCGGUGAAAAUUAUGGGCUUAACCCAUAAACUGCCGUUGAAACUGUUAUUCUUGAGUGGAGUAGAGGCAGGCGGAAUUCCGAGUGUAGCGGUGAAAUGCGUAGAUAUUCGGAGGAACACCAGUGGCGAAGGCGGCCUGCUGGGCUCUAACUGACGCUGAGGCUCGAAAGUGUGGGGAGCAAACAGGAUUAGAUACCCUGGUA